UGUUGUUGCAGGUUUGCGACUGACCACAUUUAUAGUGAUCCAAUAGUUUCUUGAAGGGUCUUGAUUGGCUUUGACUAACACAGAGUACGUCUCACCAGAAUAGAUGUAGAGGUUUCGUACCACAAAUGGUUCCACAUAGCUUCCAUCUGCUUCUACAACAGUCAUAUCAUGGCCCUCAAUUUCAAAACUAAGAGCAGAUAGGGCAGUUAAAC
Molecule: unclassified non-coding RNA, 212 nt
Filed under: Hevea brasiliensis (rubber tree)
Lineage: Eukaryota; Viridiplantae; Streptophyta; Magnoliopsida; Malpighiales; Euphorbiaceae
Source: RNAcentral